AGAGUUUGAUCAUGGCUCAGGAUGAACGCUAGCUACAGGCUUAACACAUGCAAGUCGAGGGGAAACGACAUCGAAAGCUUGCUUUUGAUGGGCGUCGACCGGCGCACGGGUGAGUAACGCGUAUCCAACCUGCCCACCACUUGGGGAUAACCUUGCGAAAGUAAGACUAAUACCCAAUGAUAUCUCUAGAAGACAUCUGAAAGAGAUUAAAGAUUUAUCGGUGAUGGAUGGGGAUGCGUCUGAUUAGCUUGGUUGGCGGGGUAACGGCCACCGAGGCUACGAUCAGUAGGGGUUCUGAGAGGAACGGUCCCCACAUUGGAACUGAGACACGGUACCAACUCCGUACGGGAGGCA
RNAcentral lists this ribosomal RNA (354 nucleotides) under uncultured bacterium. Its description in RNAcentral is "bacterial SSU rRNA". It matches the Rfam family "Bacterial small subunit ribosomal RNA", at positions 8 to 350 of the family's 1533-position model. The record is from RNAcentral.